RNAcentral lists this ribosomal RNA (2900 nucleotides) under Klebsiella pneumoniae. RNAcentral's name for it is "23S ribosomal RNA". It matches the Rfam family "Bacterial large subunit ribosomal RNA". Lineage: Bacteria; Pseudomonadati; Pseudomonadota; Gammaproteobacteria; Enterobacterales; Enterobacteriaceae. The record is from RNAcentral.
GGUUAAGCGACUAAGCGUACACGGUGGAUGCCCUGGCAGUCAGAGGCGAUGAAGGACGUGCUAAUCUGCGAAAAGCGUCGGUAAGGUGAUAUGAACCGUUAUAACCGGCGAUGUCCGAAUGGGGAAACCCAGUGUGAUUCGUCACACUAUCGUUAACUGAAUACAUAGGUUAACGAGGCGAACCGGGGGAACUGAAACAUCUAAGUACCCCGAGGAAAAGAAAUCAACCGAGAUUCCCCCAGUAGCGGCGAGCGAACGGGGAGCAGCCCAGAGUCUGAAUCAGCUUGUGUGUUAGUGGAACGGUCUGGAAAGUCCGACGGUACAGGGUGAUAGUCCCGUACACCAAAAUGCACAGGUUGUGAACUCGAAGAGUAGGGCGGGACACGUGGUAUCCUGUCUGAAUAUGGGGGGACCAUCCUCCAAGGCUAAAUACUCCUGACUGACCGAUAGUGAACCAGUACCGUGAGGGAAAGGCGAAAAGAACCCCGGCGAGGGGAGUGAAAAAGAACCUGAAACCGUGUACGUACAAGCAGUGGGAGCACCUUCGGGUGUGACUGCGUACCUUUUGUAUAAUGGGUCAGCGACUUAUAUUCUGUAGCAAGGUUAACCGUAUAGGGGAGCCGCAGGGAAACCGAGUCUUAACUGGGCGUUAAGUUGCAGGGUAUAGACCCGAAACCCGGUGAUCUAGCCAUGGGCAGGUUGAAGGUUGGGUAACACUAACUGGAGGACCGAACCGACUAAUGUUGAAAAAUUAGCGGAUGACUUGUGGCUGGGGGUGAAAGGCCAAUCAAACCGGGAGAUAGCUGGUUCUCCCCGAAAGCUAUUUAGGUAGCGCCUCGUGAAUUCAUCUUCGGGGGUAGAGCACUGUUUCGGCUAGGGGGUCAUCCCGACUUACCAACCCGAUGCAAACUACGAAUACCGAAGAAUGUUAUCACGGGAGACACACGGCGGGUGCUAACGUCCGUCGUGAAGAGGGAAACAACCCAGACCGCCAGCUAAGGUCCCAAAGUCAUGGUUAAGUGGGAAACGAUGUGGGAAGGCACAGACAGCCAGGAUGUUGGCUUAGAAGCAGCCAUCAUUUAAAGAAAGCGUAAUAGCUCACUGGUCGAGUCGGCCUGCGCGGAAGAUGUAACGGGGCUAAACCAUGCACCGAAGCUGCGGCAGCGACACUAUGUGUUGUUGGGUAGGGGAGCGUUCUGUAAGCCUGCGAAGGUGUGCUGUGAGGCAUGCUGGAGGUAUCAGAAGUGCGAAUGCUGACAUAAGUAACGAUAAAGCGGGUGAAAAGCCCGCUCGCCGGAAGACCAAGGGUUCCUGUCCAACGUUAAUCGGGGCAGGGUGAGUCGACCCCUAAGGCGAGGCCGAAAGGCGUAGUCGAUGGGAAACAGGUUAAUAUUCCUGUACUUGGUGUUACUGCGAAGGGGGACGGAGAAGGCUAUGUUAGCCGGGCGACGGUUGUCCCGGUUUAAGCAUGUAGGCUGGUUAUCCAGGCAAAUCCGGAUAAUCAAGGCUGAGGUGUGAUGACGAGGCACUACGGUGCUGAAGUAACAAAUGCCCUGCUUCCAGGAAAAGCCUCUAAGCAUCAGGUAACAUCAAAUCGUACCCCAAACCGACACAGGUGGUCAGGUAGAGAAUACCAAGGCGCUUGAGAGAACUCGGGUGAAGGAACUAGGCAAAAUGGUGCCGUAACUUCGGGAGAAGGCACGCUGGUGUGUAGGUGAAGUCCCUGCGGAUGGAGCUGAGACCAGUCGAAGAUACCAGCUGGCUGCAACUGUUUAUUAAAAACACAGCACUGUGCAAACACGAAAGUGGACGUAUACGGUGUGACGCCUGCCCGGUGCCGGAAGGUUAAUUGAUGGGGUUAUCCGUAAGGAGAAGCUCUUGAUCGAAGCCCCGGUAAACGGCGGCCGUAACUAUAACGGUCCUAAGGUAGCGAAAUUCCUUGUCGGGUAAGUUCCGACCUGCACGAAUGGCGUAAUGAUGGCCAGGCUGUCUCCACCCGAGACUCAGUGAAAUUGAACUCGCUGUGAAGAUGCAGUGUACCCGCGGCAAGACGGAAAGACCCCGUGAACCUUUACUAUAGCUUGACACUGAACAUUGAGCCUUGAUGUGUAGGAUAGGUGGGAGGCUUUGAAGCGUGGACGCCAGUCUGCGUGGAGCCAACCUUGAAAUACCACCCUUUAAUGUUUGAUGUUCUAACGUUGGCCCCUGACCGGGGUUGCGGACAGUGUCUGGUGGGUAGUUUGACUGGGGCGGUCUCCUCCCAAAGCGUAACGGAGGAGCACGAAGGUUAGCUAAUCCUGGUCGGACAUCAGGAGGUUAGUGCAAUGGCAUAAGCUAGCUUGACUGCGAGCGUGACGGCGCGAGCAGGUGCGAAAGCAGGUCAUAGUGAUCCGGUGGUUCUGAAUGGAAGGGCCAUCGCUCAACGGAUAAAAGGUACUCCGGGGAUAACAGGCUGAUACCGCCCAAGAGUUCAUAUCGACGGCGGUGUUUGGCACCUCGAUGUCGGCUCAUCACAUCCUGGGGCUGAAGUAGGUCCCAAGGGUAUGGCUGUUCGCCAUUUAAAGUGGUACGCGAGCUGGGUUUAGAACGUCGUGAGACAGUUCGGUCCCUAUCUGCCGUGGGCGCUGGAGAAUUGAGGGGGCUGCUCCUAGUACGAGAGGACCGGAGUGGACGCAUCACUGGUGUUCGGGUUGUCAUGCCAAUGGCACUGCCCGGUAGCUAAAUGCGGAAGAGAUAAGUGCUGAAAGCAUCUAAGCACGAAACUUGCCCCGAGAUGAGUUCUCCCUGAGACUUUAAGUCUCCUGAAGGAACGUUGAAGACGACGACGUUGAUAGGCCGGGUGUGUAAGCGCAGCGAUGCGUUGAGCUAACCGGUACUAAUGAACCGUGAGGCUUAACCUU